RNAcentral lists this unclassified non-coding RNA (350 nucleotides) under plant metagenome. RNAcentral's name for it is "partial contains 5.8S ribosomal RNA, internal transcribed spacer 2, and large subunit ribosomal RNA". The stretch from base 1 to 105 matches the Rfam family "5.8S ribosomal RNA", at positions 50 to 154 of the family's 154-position model. The record is from RNAcentral.
GAAAUGCGAUAAGUAAUGUGAAUUGCAGAAUUCAGUGAAUCAUCGAAUCUUUGAACGCACCUUGCGCUCCUUGGUAUUCCGAGGAGCAUGCCUGUUUGAGUGUCAUGGAAUUCUCAACUCUAUUUGCUUUUGUGAAUAGAGCUUGGAUUUGGAGGUUUAUUGCUGGUACUUGUGAUCGGCUCCUCUUGAAUGCAUUAGCUCGAACCUUUGUGGAUCAGCUAUCGGUGUGAUAAUUGUCUACGCCGUUGCAGUGAAGCAUAUCAAUGGGCUCGGCUUCCAAUCGUCCUUUACUGGAAAAUGACUUUGACCUUUGACCUCAAAUCAGGUAGGAUUACCCGCAGAACUUAAGC